Long non-coding RNA from Lagenorhynchus albirostris (white-beaked dolphin), 614 nucleotides. RefSeq lists it as uncharacterized. The record is from RefSeq and is a predicted model, not a curated record. The transcript has 3 exons. Lineage: Eukaryota; Metazoa; Chordata; Mammalia; Artiodactyla; Delphinidae.
GGGGAAAACAGGAGCCGAAUGGAAACUGACAGCCUUGGAAAGAGGUGUGUUGCCCAUAGGUUCAGUGUCAGAGCUUCUGCCUGCUGAAGCCGUAAAGUGGGCUGGGGCAAACAAGCGCCGAAUGGAAAAUGACAGCCUUGGAAGGAGGUUUGUUGUUCAUAGGUUCAUUGUCAGACCUUCUGCCUGCUGAAGCCAUAAAUUUGGGGCUGAGGAAAACAGAAGCCGAAUGGAAAAUGACACCUUGGGAAGGAGGUGUGUUGUCCAUAGUUUCAUUGUCAGAGCUUCUUCCUGCUGAAGCCAUAAAUGGGGGGCUGGGGAAAACAGGAGCCCAAUGGAAAGUGACAGCCUGGUAAGGAGGUAUUUUGUCCAUAGGUUCAGUAUCAGAGCUUCUGCCUGCUGAAGCCAUAAGUGUGAGACUUGGGAAACCAGGUUUAAAAUAAAAAAAAGCACCCUGGGAAGGAGGUGUGUUGUCCAUAGUUUCAGUGUCAGAGCUUCUGCCUGCUGAAGCCGUAAAUGGGGUGGUGGGGAAAACAGGAGCCGAACGGAAAAUGACAGCCUGGGAAGGAGGUGUGGUGUCCAUAGGUUCAGUGUCAGAGCUUUUGCCUGCUGAAGCC